This 690-nucleotide ribosomal RNA is filed under the name Bacillus subtilis. RNAcentral's name for it is "bacterial SSU rRNA". It matches the Rfam family "Bacterial small subunit ribosomal RNA", at positions 37 to 710 of the family's 1533-position model. The record is from RNAcentral. Lineage: Bacteria; Bacillati; Bacillota; Bacilli; Caryophanales; Bacillaceae.
GGGCGGCGUGCUAUACAUGCAAGUCGAGCGGACAGAUGGGAGCUUGCUCCCUGAUGUUAGCGGCGGACGGGUGAGUAACACGUGGGUAACCUGCCUGUAAGACUGGGAUAACUCCGGGAAACCGGGGCUAAUACCGGAUGGUUGUUUGAACCGCAUGGUUCAAACAUAAAAGGUGGCUUCGGCUACCACUUACAGAUGGACCCGCGGCGCAUUAGCUAGUUGGUGAGGUAACGGCUCACCAAGGCGACGAUGCGUAGCCGACCUGAGAGGGUGAUCGGCCACACUGGGACUGAGACACGGCCCAGACUCCUACGGGAGGCAGCAGUAGGGAAUCUUCCGCAAUGGACGAAAGUCUGACGGAGCAACGCCGCGUGAGUGAUGAAGGUUUUCGGAUCGUAAAGCUCUGUUGUUAGGGAAGAACAAGUACCGUUCGAAUAGGGCGGUACCUUGACGGUACCUAACCAGAAAGCCACGGCUAACUACGUGCCAGCAGCCGCGGUAAUACGUAGGUGGCAAGCGUUGUCCGGAAUUAUUGGGCGUAAAGGGCUCGCAGGCGGUUUCUUAAGUCUGAUGUGAAAGCCCCCGGCUCAACUGGGGAGGGUCAUUGGGAACUGGGGAACUUGAGUGCAGAAAAGGAGAGUGGAAUUCCACGUGUAGCGGUGAAAAUGCGUAGAGAUGUGGAGGAACACC